GUUCUGCGUAGGAAGGUUAUUAUUAUUUUCAUUAUAAUUCAGACUGGGAUCGACCUUAUUAAUAUAGGUGGUGUAAUAGAUUCUAGCGCAGUAAUUUUACCACCUGAGAAUGAACGAACAUGGAAAAAUUAAGUAGGUUGUUUAAAAUGAACUUCUGCAUAGGUAAGUUAUCAUUAUUUUCGUUUUAAUUCAGACUGGGAUCAACUUUAUUAUCAUAGUCGGAGUUAUGGAUUCCAGCACAGUACUAAUUCUGCCAACCAGGGAUGCACUACCCCCCAAAAAAUUAAGAAGGUUGUUUAAAAUGAACUUCUAUAUUGGAAAGUCAUCAUUAUUUUGUUUUUAAUUCAGACUGGGAUCAACUUUAUCAUCAUAGUCAGUGUUAUGGAUUCCAGCACAGUACUAAUUCUGCCAACCAAGGAUGCACUAACCCGCAAAAAUUAAGAAGGUUGUUUAAAAUGAACUGCACAGGCAAGUUAUCAUUAUUUUCAUUUUAAUUCAGACCGGGAUCAACUUUAUUAUCAUAGUCGGUGUUAUGGAUUCCAACGCAGUACUAAUUCAGCUGGGCAAGGAUGCACGAACAUGGUAACACUGCAUGGUUAAUAUCCUCCCUUCGUCAGGUCGCAAAAUUCCUGCGGCAAAGUCCAUAACAGCGACUAUAUUGCUUUACAGAUCUCGUUUCAGGGAAUUUAAAACCAAGGCAGCUGUCUGACUUACGGUUGUAGGUCUGUUAUAUGAAGUCCUCUAGUAGUUAUUUAUGUACACUAUCUGGAUCAUCAAUUAUUAUCGUUAGUGCUUCAUCCAAGACAGUCAGUCGUCGCUUAAGUUGAGGGAUGUUAAAAUAAUGCACUUUAGGUUAGGGGCCCUGCAUCAGUCUGUUGCUACGUCAUUCCUUCUUACUAUUCCUCCUAAACCCUCAUGCAUAUCAGACGUAGCCCCUCGUAAUCACUCUUUUUGAAACCUUUCCUUCUUCAUAGACUUGCUGCAUCCCUCUAAAACCUGAUCUUCACAAUGUCCUAUUCCCUUAGACUCAUGGUAAUACUCGAUUUUUAUUUGUGAGUGAAUUUCGUCUACCUGUGCGACCUGAAACAAUAGGGUCGUAUUAGAAGUCAAAUCCGAGAAGUUUCAGGUCCCUACAGAGUUUGGUUCAGGGGCCGUAUUACAAGUUGAAUCCGAGAAGCUUCAGGUCCCUACAGAGUUUGGUUCAGGGGCCGUAUUACAAGUUGAAUCCGAGAAGCUUCAGGUCCCUACAGAGUUUGGUUCAGGGGCCGUAUUACAAGUUGAAUCCAAGAAGCUUCAGGUCCCUACAGAGUUUGGUUCAGGGGCCGUAUUACAAGUUGAAUCCAAGAAGCUUCAGGUCCCUACAGAGUUUGGUUUAGGGGCCGUAUUACAAGUUGAAUCCGAGAAGCUUCAGGUCCCUACAGAGUUUGGUUCAGGGGCCGUAUUACAAGUUGAAUCCGAGAAGCUUCAGGUCCCUACAGAGUUUGGUUCAGGGGCCGUAUUACAAGUUGAAUCCGAGAAGCUUCAGGUCCCUACAGAGUUUGGUUUAGGGGCUCUAUUACAAGUUGAAUCCGAGAAGCUUCAGGUCCCUACAGAGUUUGGUUCAGGGGCCGUAUUACAAGUUGAAUCCGAGAAGCUUCAGGUCCCUACAGAGUUU
Eriocheir sinensis (Chinese mitten crab) is the source of this 1654-nucleotide long non-coding RNA. RefSeq lists it as uncharacterized. NCBI's taxonomy places the organism in Eukaryota, Metazoa, Arthropoda, Malacostraca, Decapoda, Varunidae. The transcript is spliced from 6 exons. The record is from RefSeq and is a predicted model, not a curated record.